UGUAGCCUUCCUCUGGCGUGACGUUUUGAAAACCAAUGUAAAUUUCUCUCGGACAAGGUGAUUUUUAUCAAUAUGUUCAUCUCUAUUUAAUUUGAUUCAAAAAUGCUAAUUAGCAUCAAAGUAGACAUCAUGCAAGACUACAAAUCCCCAAAGCUCCUGCAUGUCAUCUCCAGCUGACACCUUUGCUAACAGGCGUCUAUUGAUGUCACCUGGUGGUCCAAGAGAGAUUUCCACUUAUCAAAAUGUCACACCAGGGCUGAUGAUGUUGGACAAUUGGCUCUUGAUGGCCGAGGAAGUCAUGAUGGAAGUCCAGCUCUUGGUGGACUGGGA
Long non-coding RNA from Oncorhynchus masou masou (cherry salmon), 330 nucleotides. RefSeq lists it as uncharacterized. The record is from RefSeq and is a predicted model, not a curated record. The transcript has 3 exons. Lineage: Eukaryota; Metazoa; Chordata; Actinopteri; Salmoniformes; Salmonidae.